GCUUAGGAAUCUGCCUAUUAAUGGGGGACAACAAUUCGAAAGGAUUGCUAAUACCGCAUACGCCCUACGGGGGAAAGCAGGGGACUCGUAAGAGCCUUGCGUUAAUAGAUGAGCCUAAGUCGGAUUAGCUAGUUGGUGGGGUAAAGGCCUACCAAGGCGACGAUCUGUAGCGGGUCUGAGAGGAUGAUCCGCCACACUGGGACUGAGACACGGCCCAGACUCCUACGGGAGGCAGCAGUGGGGAAUAUUGGACAAUGGGGGGAACCCUGAUCCAGCCAUGCCGCGUGUGUGAAGAAGGUCGUAAGACUGUAAAGCACUUUAAGCGAGGAGGAGGGUAACUAUGCUAAUACCAUGGUUUAUCGGACGCUACUCGCAGAAUAAGCACCGGCUAACUCUGUGCCAGCAGCCGCGGUAAUACAGAGGGUGCGAGCGUUAAUCGGAAUUACUGGGCGUAAAGCGCGCGUAGGUGGCAAAUUAAGUCGGAUGUGAAAUCCCCGAGCUCAACUUGGGAAUUGCAUCCGAUACUGGUUAGCUAGAGUAUGAGAGAGGAAGGUAGAAUUCCAGGUGUAGCGGUGAAAUGCGUAGAGAUCUGGAGGAAUACCGAUGGCGAAGGCAGCCUUCUGGC
RNAcentral lists this ribosomal RNA (625 nucleotides) under uncultured bacterium. RNAcentral's name for it is "bacterial SSU rRNA". It matches the Rfam family "Bacterial small subunit ribosomal RNA", at positions 115 to 733 of the family's 1533-position model. The record is from RNAcentral.